Marasmius fiardii PR-910 is the source of this 91-nucleotide non-coding RNA. The record is from the annotation of a GenBank genome assembly. NCBI's taxonomy places the organism in Eukaryota, Fungi, Basidiomycota, Agaricomycetes, Agaricales, Marasmiaceae.
GGGCGUUUAGCGGAGUGGUAACGCGUACGUUUUGCAUAUCUGAGAGAAUUGCGUGUUUAUAAGGUCCGGGGUUUAAUUUCCCGAACGUCCG